CACGCCCUAAACGAUGAAUACUCGGUGUCGGGUCGUAAGAUUCGGUGCCUAAGCUAACGCUUUAAGUAUUCCACCUGGGGAGUACGAUCGCAAGGUUGAAACUCAAAGGAAUUGACGGGGGCCCGCACAAGCAGUGGAGCAUGUGGUUUAAUUCGACGCAACGCGAAGAACCUUACCUAGGCUUGAAAGGCAAGCCGCAGCCGAUGAAAGUCGGUUUCCCGCAAGGGGGCUUGUACAGGUGC
This 242-nucleotide ribosomal RNA is filed under the name uncultured Ignavibacterium sp. RNAcentral's name for it is "partial 16S ribosomal RNA". It matches the Rfam family "Bacterial small subunit ribosomal RNA", at positions 796 to 1041 of the family's 1533-position model. Lineage: Bacteria; Pseudomonadati; Ignavibacteriota; Ignavibacteria; Ignavibacteriales; Ignavibacteriaceae. The record is from RNAcentral.